AUAAUACUCCCUCCAUCCAGAAAUACUUGUCACAAGAAUGGAUGUAUCUAGAUGUAUUUUAGUUUUAGAUACAUUCAUUUUUAUUCAUUUUUGUGACAAGUAAUUCCGGAUGGAGGGCGUAACUU
This 125-nucleotide microRNA precursor is filed under the name Hordeum vulgare. RNAcentral describes it as "microRNA MIR1122". It matches the Rfam family "MIR1120/MIR1122 microRNA precursor family". Lineage: Eukaryota; Viridiplantae; Streptophyta; Magnoliopsida; Poales; Poaceae. The record is from RNAcentral.